Molecule: ribosomal RNA, 253 nt
Filed under: uncultured bacterium
Lineage: Bacteria
Description: partial 16S ribosomal RNA
Rfam family: Bacterial small subunit ribosomal RNA
Source: RNAcentral
UACGUAGGUGGCAAGCGUUGUCCGGAUUUAUUGGGUUUAAAGGGUGCGUAGGCGGCUUUGUAAGUCAGUGGUGAAAUACUCCAGCUUAACUGGAGGGGUGCCAUUGAUACUGCGGAGCUUGAGUACAGAUGAGGUAGGCGGAAUGUGACAAGUAGCGGUGAAAUGCAUAGAUAUGUCACAGAACACCAAUUGCGAAGGCAGCUUACUAUGGUAUAAUUGACGCUGAGGCACGAAAGCGUGGGGAUCAAACAGG